AUAGUAAUAGAAAAAGUAGUGGUAUAUAAUCCAGGUCGUGAUUUGACCUUCAUUUGUUAUUUUGUUACAUCAAUUUCCUCAAGAGCUUUGAAAACAUUUAAAAGGGGGGAAUAAAGCAAGAGAAGAAUAUUGCCAAAGGUUUUCUUUAUGCAUUAUAUAUAAUGGUUUGUAAUGCAAAUGCAAAUUGAUUUUCUGCACUCUACUGCAAAGAAACAGACAGGUUUUAAUCAUUUCCAGACUUUUUUAAAAAUCUGAAUACUAAAAGUUUAGAAAAUGAUGGAUUUUCUACCUGUGACAUUUGGUCUUGUGCAUGCUUUCAAGUGCAAGUGACCUCUUUUAAAUAUUCAAAAUAUGAUAUUAUCUAACCUUUCAUGACAUUUUUGUUUUCUAUGUUGAAUUUGAAGUAGUUGUAUUUGAUUUAUACUUUUUAAGUGUUGUAGACAAGAAAGAAUAAACAUGUAUGCCUCCAGGCCUCCACAGUAAAUUAGUGGAGCAGUAAACAUCAUCAUCAUCAACAACAACAACAACAAUAGAGAACGUAUUCAUUGGGUAUAAUUAGGAGUUUUGUACUGCAACGGGUACUGAAACCCCACCUUACAAUUUGGGUCCUUUUUAUUAAAGACAUUUAUGAAUUGGAGUAUUUCUCUAAUACCUCAGCUUCUUCAGAGCAAACCCAAUCCUUAAUUUGGGACAUCAGAAAUUCAUUCCUUAAUUACAGCCACACCCUUCGCUCUAGUAAGAAAGAUUAUCUCUGUCUAUCUUUCUCUCUCUCUAUUCAUGUAUAAGUCUAGAAAUGUUAGUCAAAAAGUUGACCCCAAUAACCUGGGUCAACUUAUCCAUAAAUUAAUGUCAGAACUGUACCUUAAUUCAUUUUUAAAAGGAGCCUUCCCCUUCUCUGAGUUGAGUGGUGAAAGGCCAAACAUCACCAGAUUCUUAAUUCUAGAGCCCCCCAUAGAUUAGAUCUCAAAGAUUGUCUUUAAGCUAAUUCUUAUUUCCCAUAUAGAUGAGCGGGAAAACACAUAACUAUUCCUAUAACCAAUGUAAGUCCUAGAUUAGGACUAGCAGGCAAAAUAUGAAACUAUAAGCACAGUAUGUGCAGUUGGGUGUAGAAAAUGUGCUGACAAAGAAUGUAAGCAGGUGUGUGUGUGUGUCUUGCUAUAAACAGUUCCACUUGCUCAUCUCAGCCACCACAAGCUCACAGCUGUCUUUCACCCCUUGCAUCUGUACAAAAAGCAUUGCACAUUUUUCUUUUUCUCUUUCUUUCUGUUCACAAGCUUAGUGGAAGUAAUCAGAUCUGUUUAUUGUAUACUUUGCAGUUACAGUUUCUUAUUACUUUGAACAUUAGAAUCUUGGUGACUCAGAGAGCAUCAGGCGUUUCAGAUUCUCAAGCGGGAACUGAUUUUUACAUGCUGAUUUAUGCAGCCCCUUGAAGAGAUUACACUGAACUGCUGAAUGCAAGUUGCCAUUAAACUGUGCAACAGUAAAUAAGUGUGCUAAUUUUCUAGUUCCGUACAAGUAUUUUAUUUAGAUGUCUCAGUGUGUAUGGUUUGCAAGCUGUGUGUAAUGAGCUAAUUUAUACUGCCCUAUUGCAACUCCCAUUAGUUGUAUCCAUUAAAACUUACUGCCAAUUACAUGUAGCUCUUUAAGCUCCCUUUGAAAGCUUGCUUUUUGUGUGGAAUUGUUUUGCCUUUGGAUUUCACACUAAGAGUCUACACUUACUACUUCCUAGGACACCAAAUACUGUUAACAUGUAAACAUGAUGCAUGAGUCUGAAAACAAAAGGUACCAUAUUUGCCUAGGUUAUAGAAGAGAAGAUUGCCUUUUGUGAUGUUAGCUCACAAGUCUCACCUCACUCAUGAAAUAUUCAUAAAAUAUGUAAAAUCGUCAUAUUCAUCUGUAAAAUAUGUAAUUCACAUAUCCAAUUUACAGAUAAGAAUCAAAGCACUUAGGUUUAAAUAACAAGCAAACUGGAAUUAUGUAAUUCUCUUCUCAAACCAAAGGCAACCUGGGGUUGCUUUGCAUGAGCAGAAAAAAAAAUGGAUUCUAAGGAACUUUUUCACACUUCCUGCCUUUCCAUCUCAAAUUCACCUCCUGGAGCAACUGGCCGUUUUUAAUAGGAGUUUGCUGUAUAAGCAUCAUGAGGCUUGGCGUUCUCUCUGAAACCUUGUGAGAUAUUAUCACAAAAAUUUGAAAUAUAUAGUCAUUCCACAUUCUGCGGGAUCCUCCAUAUUGUUGCUGAAUGAUGAAUGCCACCUGCCACCCCCCCCCCCCCCCAAAAAAAACAAAAGCGAAGAAUGAGGGAGGCCUUUCCUUCCCAAGGAAGAAGUAAUGGAUUGCGAGUCCUGCUUUCAUGGCCAAGAAGGUGUUCUCGCCUCUGCCUCUUGUCACUGCUUUCACUCUGAGUUUAUAAUAGUGGCAGGUUGCUUUCCGUGUUCUUCUUCUGCACCUAAGCUUUAUCCUUCAGUAUCCACAGGUUUCAUAGUAAAAAUCUUUAAUUUGAGCCCCCAAACCUGCCCUCAAACUUAUACAUAAGGGCAACAUAAACAUGAGCAUACAUAGUAAAUUGUGAUAUAUUGAGGAAAGAAUAAUAACUUGCAUCUUUGGGAUGAUCCUGUUUUUGUUUGUACAUGAGCAACUUGUGUUUCUCCACAAACAGUUGGUAAGAGACUUGAUAAAAUAUGAAGGAGAAUAAUAAAUCGCGAUUUGUGGCGUUCUUACUCUCUACAUGAUGUGAAUUUAUAAACAAUACAGAGAUUGGUAAAAAGCAUUAUCUUUAAAUUAGCAGGUCACUGGACAUAUGUUGUGUAUUGUUUUAGGGAACUCAUUAUACAUAUUAUCAUAUAUACUUUGAAAAUUGUGGGACAACCCUCUUUUCAUGACCCUGGACACUUUUGUGGGUGUGAACAAGACGAAGUCUAGAAUAGUUAUUUUAAUUUACUGGAAUUCUUUUUUUUUUUGUGGGUAAACAGUUUAUUAAUGAAACGUUACAUAACAAAACAGCAAAUUAUCGCAAAUAUAGUCAGAUUUACUGGAAUUCUUUAAUAAAUAUUGGGUUCUGACGGGAGCCCAAUACAGGGAGCAGUCAGCCCUCCUGCUUAAGGAGCUCCACUGGCUGCCGUUCAUUUUCCGGACCCAAUUCAAAUUGCUGGUGAUUACCUAUAAAGCUCUGAACAGUUUGGGACCCAUCUACCUUCAGGAUCGUCUCUCCCCCUACGAACCUGUACGGUCUCUUCGGUCAUCGGGGGAGGCCCUCCUCUCGCUUCCGCCAGCGUCACAAGCGAGGUUGGUGGGAACGAGAGAGAGGGCCUUCUCUGUAGUGGCCCCCCAGCUCUGGAAUUCGCUGCCUAGGGAGAUCAGGCAAGCCCCCACCUUGAUGGCGUUUCGGAAGAGCCUGAAAACCUGGCUUUUCACCCAGGCCUUUGGUUUAGAUUGCCCAUCCCCAUCAUAAUUACAAUUAUACUCCUCGACUUUUGUACUGGUUGCUCUUUUCCUGAUUACUUGAUAUCAAUUCAGGGCUCCUCCCUACCUAAUGUGACCUUAAAUGAAUCUAUUGCCCUUUAUCUAUUUACAAAUUUGUAACUCAUAAUGUGCACCUUGCUUAUCCGCUAUUGCAACCUCAUUGUUUUUAAUUUGAUGUUUUAAUACUGUGUUGUGCUUUUUUCGUUUACUGUGUAUAUAUUACUAUUGGUUUUGUUAUUGUUCUUUGAUGUUUCAUAUUUUAUCAUUGCUUUGUAUCUGAUUUUGCUGUAAGCCACCCCGAGUCCCCUUCGGGGGAGAUGGAGGCGGGAUAUAAAUAAACUUAUUAUUAUUAUUUAAGAUGUAUAUUGUACUGUGGCUUGCAACGAAUAAAUCCUCUUCUUUAAAACAAUUCAUAGUAUUGAUCUCAGUAAAACUGAAGUUUCUUUUUAAUUGCCCUAGCCCUUGUCAUAAUUGUGCCUUACAAAAAGAACUACUAGAGCAAGGAAAUGCUCUGUUAGCAGUAUUUUUUUUAUUGUUCUGUAAUUUAUUAUUAGAGUAGAGCCUGCAGGAAUCUUUGAAUGCUCAAUGUUUUUCAUGUUUUGCUUUAACUUUUAUUUUAAAAUCUUCUUAAUGGAACCAAAAAAUCUUGCUUUUAAAGCUAGCCUGAUGCUUCGGCUUCCAUGUUUUCAUCUUACUGCACUUGCAUAUAAUUGUUCUGUGAUGUGGCAAGGAUAUAUUUAUUAUUAUUGGUACAUAUUAAUAUGCUUCAUUUGGCCACAAGGCCACAUAAGCUGUACAGUUUAUUAACACGGACAAGGUAUUUAUUACAUAAAGAGGGUAAAGUAUCUUAUCUAAUACCAGGGCAGUAGACAGCAGCCAUGAAUUUAGUGCAAUUAUAAGGUGCUUGUAAACUGCAAUUUAUAAACUACUGUUUGAGAGCCUAGGAAAUGCAAUUGUGUGAAAUGCAAGGGAUAAUUAAAGUCAUACAUAAAUAUAAUGCUGUCUUUAUACAUUUUAGGGACAGCCUACCUUAGAAUUCCUUAUUUCCAUUUGCUCAGUUGCAGGCUCUGAUUCACCAAUGAUUCACUCCUAGUAAUUCUAGAGGUGCCUCAGACUAAACUCCCAUCUACACGGUCCAUUUAAUGCUGUUUGAAGCUUGUUUCAAGUUAUGGCAGUUAGACAACAAGUUUUCAUAACGGUGUGCAAAGGAAUGCCCUUAUUGUGCACCACUUCUCUGUAGUUUAUGUUAUGGUUGAGCCUUAUGGCUCCAAUACUGGGAGACGUGGUCGUAAGACUCCUCGAGAGUCAGACUCUCUUGAGGAGCGAGAGAGGAAACGGCUGCGGGACUUAUUUGCAGAACCAACAGACGAAGAUUCCUCUGAGGGUUUUACCGAGGGAAUGGAGGAAGAGGUGGUUAGCUCAGAAGAGGAUGACAUGGAAUGGACUCGUGUGAGGGAGGAUUUGGGUGUUCCUGGUAAUGAUAGCAUGGGAAGCGACUGCCGGGUUGCAGGAUCGGACCCGUGGACGAGUUGGAGGGAUGGAACGGGAUCCACAGCUGGGGAUGCUGUGGGGCGUAGUCAAAGAUGUUUUAGCUCUGAUGAGGAUGAUGAUGAUGAGGCACCUGGAAUUAGGGGAACAGCUGAUAGUGAUGAGGAGUUGUAAACUGGCAUAAAAUGGGGUUUUGAAUCCAGAGCUAAUUGCGUUGGGCAAGGUAAUCUGGACGAACGCUUGGGCUCUUGUUGGGAAUUUCCUGAAGACGGGUGUGUUUCGUUUGCUGAAUACCUUGGACCUCCGUCGUCUUCUUGACGGACAUUAAUUGCCUAUUCUGGAUUGACGCUGGACUGACUGACUGACUACGACCUCGGACUACUCCUUCUGUGGCUUUCGGUGGAAUUGGUGAACCCAAGACAUCUGUACCUGGCUUUCGACCUCGGACCGGACUGGGACCCUGCUGACCGUUGCUACCCUGAUUGAAGUGCCUGGAUCCGGAUUCCGUUUGUUGCAGCUUUCGAGUAGCAGAGAGGAAUCUGCUGCCAGCUAUUUAUGUUUCUUUGAAUCCUUGUUUACCAACUUUUGUUUGUUUAAAUUGCCAGGCUGAAGUAAGCAUUUUCUGUUUAACCCGGAUUAAACUCCUGUUUAAUCCGGUUUAUCUUUUGAACCGCUUUUAGUAUCAGCGGAGUCUUUUUUGUGUAUCUUUUACAUUGAAGGCAAGUGUUGGCCUAGUCCUUUGUUUCAUACGGGCACUUUUUAGCCCUGUAACUUUAAUAAACUGUGUUGAACUUUA
Molecule: long non-coding RNA, 5743 nt
Organism: Anolis carolinensis (green anole)
Lineage: Eukaryota; Metazoa; Chordata; Lepidosauria; Squamata; Anolidae
Exons: 2
Source: RefSeq, a predicted model, not a curated record